ACCUACGGGAGGCAGCAGUGGGGAAUAUUGGGCAAUGGGCGCAAGCCUGACCCAGCAACGCCGCGUGAGGGAAGAAGGUCUUCGGAUUGUAAACCUCUGUCCUUGGGGACGAAUUUUGACGGUACCCAAGGAGGAAGCUCCGGCUAACUACGUGCCAGCAGCCGCGGUAAUACGUAGGGAGCGAGCGUUGUCCGGAAUUACUGGGCGUAAAGGGUGCGUAGGCGGCGAUGUAAGUCAGAUGUGAAAUCCCCGGGCUCAACUCGGGUUCUGCAUUUGAAACUACAUUGCUUGAGUGCAGGAGAGGAAAGCGGAAUUCCUAGUGUAGCGGUGAAAUGCGUAGAUAUUAGGAAGAACACCAGUGGCGAAGGCGGCUUUCUGGACUGCAACUGACGCUGAGGCACGAAAGCGUGGGGAGCAAACAGGAUUAGAUACCCGUGUAGUCCU
Molecule: ribosomal RNA, 444 nt
Filed under: uncultured bacterium
Lineage: Bacteria
Description: bacterial SSU rRNA
Rfam family: Bacterial small subunit ribosomal RNA
Source: RNAcentral